GACUCACUUGAUAUCGCUGAAUUAGUAAUGGAAUUAGAAGACGAGUUUGGUACUGAAAUUCCUGAUGAAGAAGCUGAAAAAAUCAACACUGUUGGUGAUGCUGUUAAAUUUAUUAACAGUCUUGAAAAAUAAUAAAUCUUACAUCUGGGUCGUCAGUAUUGUCGACUCAGUUUUUUUCUUUAAUUAUCAAUAGUUUUAACGUAAAAUUAAAGAUGAUUCAAGAGCAACACAUAAAGGAGAUAAAAUAAUGUCUAAACAAAAGAAAAGUGAGAUAGUUAAUCGUUUUAGAAAGCGCUUUGAUACUAAAAUGACAGAGUUAGGCUUUACUUAUCAAAAUAUUGAUUU
This 345-nucleotide small RNA is filed under the name Staphylococcus aureus. RNAcentral's name for it is "HMPRNC0000_1298". The record is from RNAcentral. Lineage: Bacteria; Bacillati; Bacillota; Bacilli; Caryophanales; Staphylococcaceae.